AACGGCCGUACCAUGCUGAAUAUAUCGGUUCUCGUUAGAUCACCGAAGUUAAGCAUCAUUGGGCGCGGUCAGUACUUGGGAGGGUGACCACCUCGGAAAACUGCGUGCCGUU
Molecule: ribosomal RNA, 112 nt
Filed under: Caerostris darwini
Lineage: Eukaryota; Metazoa; Arthropoda; Arachnida; Araneae; Araneidae
Source: RNAcentral